This 1949-nucleotide unclassified non-coding RNA is filed under the name Leishmania donovani. RNAcentral's name for it is "gene:LdHU3.27.3650(CDS-product:protein_kinase_put ative)". The record is from RNAcentral. Lineage: Eukaryota; Euglenozoa; Kinetoplastea; Trypanosomatida; Trypanosomatidae.
GUGCAUCGCGAAGGAACCCACGCGUAGUGGCACGGGCCGAUCGAUGGGCCUCACUGCAGAGGCGAUCGCCCCAUCGGAGGGGCACUUUAGACACCACUACUCGCUGGGCGACGAGAUCGGCAAGGGCGCGUACGCCGUCGUUUUCCGCUGCAACCACCGAGAGACGAAGGCCGUGUACGCGGUGAAGAUCGUGGACAAGAGAAAGGCGGGACCGAAGGACAUCGAUGACAUCACGCAUGAGAUUGACGUGAUGGGCCGCAUCGGCUACCACCCAAACGUGGUGCAGAUGAUUGAGUACUUCUCCACGGAGCGGCGCUUUUACAUCAUCCUCGAUCUCUUGUCGGGCGGCAUGCUGUUUGACCGCAUCAUCGAGCUGAAGCACUACAGCGAGUCCAACGCCUCAGUGCUGGUGCGCAACGUGCUCUCCGGACUGGCGCAUAUUCACUCAAGAGGCGUCAUACACCGUGACUUGAAGCCGGAGAACCUGCUGCUGCGCUACGCGGCCUCGCCGUCGACGUCGCCAAACUCGAACUUGACGGACGUGUGCCUCGCAGACUUUGGGUUGGCCGGGUACGUGCCGAGCACCACCUGCUGCGGGUCCCCCUCGUACAUCGCGCCAGAGGUGAUCAGCGUGGGCUACUACCGAACCCGCAAGGAGCCGUACGACGCCAAGUGCGAUAUCUGGUCCAUCGGCGUCAUUACAUACAUCUUGCUCAGCGGCAAGAUGCCAUUCCACGGCAACAGCUUCAAGGAAACAUUUGAGCUCAUUGUCAGCAAUCGCUGGUCCUUCAACAGCGACACGUGGGCGAGCGUCACCCCAACAGCGAAGGACUUCAUUCAGGCCUGUCUUACCUACGACCCGGUGGAGCGCCCGACGGCGCUGGAGCUGCUGCAGCAUCCGUGGCUCGCCAACGAGCAGCCCCACGUGCACCUCGGGCGCAGCCUUGAGUCACUGCGUGAUCUCACAAAGAAGAAGGUGAAGGCGGCAGUGCAGGUAUUCUGCUGGACGCAGAGCCUCCUCGGUCCGCUGGACUGGACGCCGCCGUUCAUGCGUUUCCUGCGGCACACCGACAAGUUCUCCACGGUCCUUACACACCAGUCGCAGACGGACCCGAAGCAGGUGCACACCGUGGACUUUAGCAAGGCGCUGGAUCACAAGAAGCCCGGCUGGCGCAUCCAGGACUGCUGCACAUGUCCUUCGGAGCAGGUCUGUCGGCACAUCCAGAACGUACAUGAGUACCUCUUCGUCGGCAAGCGCUCCAUGGAGGUGUACCCGUUCAUCGACGAGCUGCGGAUGAUGCACGAGGAGGCUGAGGAUAGCCUCACGGCGGACCCGCGCGACGCCGAGGCGAGGAAGCGGCUAGACCAGGUCAACUACCUCAUUGAGGCUGCCUGCGUCUUCUCGGACGAGCUGGCAAAGGUGCCGGCGGGGGAGCUCAAACCGAACCUGAUGCUGGACGGAUCGCGCAACACUCUCUUUCGUGCGCUGGGCGGCUCUCGCAGUGUGACGAAGACGUGGCAUGGGUCGGAUAAGGAGGAUGUGGCGCACCGAGUGGUGGAGAAGAUGCGCGCUCAGAAGUUGGCCUCGCCGGCGACAGGGAAGACGACCAAGGCAGCUGCCAUGCCGCCGUCCUCGACGCCCACCCCCAAGCCGUCCAGCAAACCAUCAUCAAGUAAGAGGAUCACAACAACUCCAAACGCGGGCACGCCGAGCAGACGCAGCUGACGGCAGUGAACGGCGGGGGAGGGGGUGUCGUGCGGCCGUCGCCACGGCGAUGUGAUCUUCGCAUCUGAGUGUGCCUGUACUCGUCUGAGGGGGAGAGGGGUGGGCGAUUUCGCUGACGGUGGCGCCCUUGCCCUUUUCUCGUUCUCUCACGCGCGUACAGGCCUACCCACGCACGUGCGCACUGCCCCUCUUCUUUCUGUUGAGUGUUGCUCUCUUCGCUGCG